CAGGGAAUAGUUUAGUUAGAAUGUCAGC
This 28-nucleotide transfer RNA is filed under the name Lontra longicaudis (neotropical river otter). Its description in RNAcentral is "partial tRNA-Pro". Lineage: Eukaryota; Metazoa; Chordata; Mammalia; Carnivora; Mustelidae. The record is from RNAcentral.